Molecule: ribosomal RNA, 253 nt
Filed under: uncultured bacterium
Lineage: Bacteria
Description: partial 16S ribosomal RNA
Rfam family: Bacterial small subunit ribosomal RNA
Source: RNAcentral
UACGUAGGGGGCAAGCGUUGUCCGGAUUUAUUGGGUUUAAAGGGUGCGUAGGCGGUCUUAUAAGUCAGUUGUGAAAUACGGCAGCUUAACUGUCGAGGUGCAAUUGAUACUGUAAGACUUGAGUACUGUUGAGGUAGGCGGAAUGGACGGUGUAGCGGUGAAAUGCUUAGAGAUCGUCCGGAACACCGAUAGCGAAGGCAGCUUACUAAAGAGUAACUGACGCUGAGGCACGAAAGUGUGGGGAUCAAACAGG